This 555-nucleotide ribosomal RNA is filed under the name uncultured bacterium. Its description in RNAcentral is "bacterial LSU rRNA". It matches the Rfam family "Bacterial large subunit ribosomal RNA", at positions 624 to 1180 of the family's 2925-position model. The record is from RNAcentral.
CGACUUACGUUCAGUAGCGAGCUUAACCGAAUAGGGGAGGCGUAGGGAAACCGAGUCUGAUAAGGGCGCCUAGUUGCUGGACGUAGACCCGAAACCAAGUGAUCUAUCCAUGGCCAGGAUGAAGGUGCGGUAACACGCACUGGAGGUCCGAACCCACUAAUGUUGAAAAAUUAGGGGAUGAGCUGUGGAUAGGGGUGAAAGGCUAAACAAACUUGGAAAUAGCUGGUUCUCUCCGAAAACUAUUUAGGUAGUGCCUCAAGUAUCACCGACGGGGGUAAAGCACUGUUAUGGCUAGGGGGUCAUCGCGACUUACCAAACCAUUGCAAACUCAGAAUACCGUUGAGUGCGAGCUUGGGAGACAGACAUCGGGUGCUAACGUCCGGUGUCAAGAGGGAAACAACCCAGACCGCCGAUUAAGGUCCCGAAGCCAUAGUUAAGUGGGAAACGAGGUGGGAAGGCUUAGACAGCCAGGAGGUUGGCUUAGAAGCAGCCAUCCUUUAAAGAAAGCGUAAUAGCUCACUGGUCGAGUCGUCCUGCGCGGAAGAUGUAACGGGG